Molecule: unclassified non-coding RNA, 327 nt
Filed under: soil metagenome
Description: partial contains 5.8S ribosomal RNA, internal transcribed spacer 2, and large subunit ribosomal RNA
Rfam family: 5.8S ribosomal RNA (bases 1-120)
Source: RNAcentral
GAUGAAGAACGUAGCGAAAUGCGAUAAGUAGUGUGAAUUGCAGACUUUAGUGAAUCAUCGAAUCUUUGAACGCACAUUGCGCCCCUUGGUAUUCCAUUGGGCAUGCCUGUUCGAGCGUCAUUUACACCCUCAAGCCUAGCUUGGUGUUGGGCGUUGUCCGCAAGGACUCGCCUCAAAUUCAUUGGCAGCGGCAUCGUCAGCUUUUCGCGCAGCACAUUGCGCUUCAGAAGGCUUCUGGCGGGCUCGCGUCCACUAAGAUACCACCCAGUUUGACCUCGAAUCAGGUAGGGAUACCCGCUGAACUUAAGCAUAUCAAUAAGCGGAGGA